CAGUCUUAGUUUCGGAUUGUAGGCUGCAACUCGCCUACAUGAAGUCGGAAUUGCUAGUAAUCGCGGAUCAGCAUGCCGCGGUGAAUACGUUCCCGGGCCUUGUACACACCGCCCGUCACACCAUGGGAGUCGGUAACACCCGAAGCCUGUAGUCUAACCGCAAGGGGGGACGCAGUCGAAGGGUGGGAUUGAUGACUGGGGGUGAAGUCGUAACAAGGUACC
This 222-nucleotide ribosomal RNA is filed under the name uncultured bacterium. RNAcentral describes it as "partial 16S ribosomal RNA". It matches the Rfam family "Bacterial small subunit ribosomal RNA", at positions 1283 to 1500 of the family's 1533-position model. The record is from RNAcentral.